GGAUGAAUGCUGGCGGCGUGCCUUAGGCAUGCAAGUCAAGGGGGCUCCGCAAGGAGCAACCGGCAGACGGGUGAGUAACGCGUAGGAAUCUACCCCUAGGAACCGCAUAGCCCUCCGAAAGGAGGGGUAAUUCGGUAUGGUCUCGCAAGAGUAAAGGACUUAACGGUCCGCCAAGGGAGGAGCCUGCGUCCUAUCAGCUUGUUGGUGGGGUAAAAGCCUACCAAGGCAACGACGGGUAGCUGGACUGAGAGGUCGAUCAGCCACAACUGCACUGAAACACGGGCAGUACAUCUACGGAUGGCAGCAACCGGGAAUAUUGCGCAAUGGACGAAAGUCUGACGCAGCGACGCCGCGUGAAGGAAGAAGGCCUAUGGGUCGUAAACUUCUUUUGAUAGUCCGUUCACAGACUAUAGAACAAGCCUCUACUAACUACGUGCCAGAAGUCUCGGUAAUACGUAGGAGGCAAGCAUUAUCCGGAUUCAUUGGGCGUAAAGUGUGCGUAGGCGGCAUGUUGUGUCGUAUCUUAAAUACCAAGGCUUAACCUCGGAUCUGGAUACGAAACUGGCAUGCUAGAGGAUUGUUAGGGAUGCUAGAACAGUUAGUGUAGCAGUGAAAUGCGUUGAUAUUAACUGGAAUACCGAAGGCGAAGGCAGGCAUCUGGGAUUUUCCUGACGCUGAGGCACGAAAGCUAGGGGAGCGAAACAGAUUAGAGACCUGUGUAGUCCUAGCCGUAAACGAUGUCCGCUAGCUAUCACUCACAAAGCGUAUGAGUAAAUCUCGUACAUUUUGUGAGUGGUGGUGUAAGCUAACGCGUUAAGCGGACCGCCUGGGGAGUACGGUCGCAAGACUAAAACUCAAAGGAAUUGACGGGGACCCGCACAACCGGUGGAGCGUGUGGUUCAAUUCGAGACAAAACGAAGAACCUCACCAAGGUUUGACAUUCUACCGUUUAUGCUCUAAGAAACUAGAGCAAAUCCGUAAGGAUGGUAGAACAGGUGCUGCAUGGCUGUCGUCAGCUCGUGCCGUGAGGUGUUCCCUUAAGUGGGGAAACGAGCGCAACCCCCGCCAAAUGUUAAACGUUCAUUUGGGACUAUCCCGCCUUUUCGGCGGGGGGGAAGGAGGGGAAGACGUCAAGUCAGCACGGCCCUUAUACCUUGGGCUACACACACACUACAAUGGCGAAGAACAACGUGUUGCCAACCAGCAAUGGUGAGCUAAUCACUGAAAUUUCGCCUCAGUUCAGAUUGGAGUCUGCAACUCGACUCCAUGAAGUCGGAAUCGGUAGUAAUCGCAGAUCAGCAUGCUGCGGUGAAUACGUUCUCGGGUC
This 1327-nucleotide ribosomal RNA is filed under the name uncultured soil bacterium. Its description in RNAcentral is "bacterial SSU rRNA". It matches the Rfam family "Bacterial small subunit ribosomal RNA", at positions 27 to 1380 of the family's 1533-position model. The record is from RNAcentral.